RNAcentral lists this long non-coding RNA (215 nucleotides) under Nicotiana benthamiana. RNAcentral describes it as "long non-coding RNA (NBEN_LNC011825)". Lineage: Eukaryota; Viridiplantae; Streptophyta; Magnoliopsida; Solanales; Solanaceae. The record is from RNAcentral.
UCCUGAAUACCAGUGAUCCUAAUCUUCUGAGCAUUCCAUAAGAUCCAAAUUCUACCCCUUGGAGAGUCCCUAUAGUUAGAUAGCAUAUCCCAACCUGGAACCAACAGUUUAGCUAUUUUCUCUGCAUUUCUCUCCUUAACUUUUGUCUCUACCAGACCAACAAGGUUAAAUUUAUUAUGUCUAAAGUAUUCCUUAGCUUCCUUCUGCUUAUACCU